AAUUUUUGUACGAAAUUACCAAUUUGCUCAUUUUUGAGGUUAUUUCAGGAUUGAAGAUUAAUCUCAUGAAGAGUGGACUGACAGAUAUUGACAUCAAGAAUCAGCUUCUGAGGGAACUAGCUGAUUUUGUGGGAUGCCAAGUUCUGGAGUGACCUUUUAUAUAUCAUGGUGUUCCUUUUUUUUAAAAUCAUAAUCAUAGAGUUGUCACAACCUCAAUUACAAGGUUGUUAGCAACUCAAUUUAUCAUGGUGUUUCUUUAGAGGGGAAUCCUAGGGUCAGCUCGUUUUGGGACCCUAUUCUGUGCAAGAUCUCUACAUGCCUGGAGACCUUGAAGGGCGCCUUUUUUUCCCCCUUGGGGGAUGCUUAUUCUC
This 371-nucleotide long non-coding RNA is filed under the name Carica papaya (papaya). Its description in RNAcentral is "long non-coding RNA (CPAP_LNC011698)". Lineage: Eukaryota; Viridiplantae; Streptophyta; Magnoliopsida; Brassicales; Caricaceae. The record is from RNAcentral.